CUUGGAUUAGGAAAAUGAAAUCAACAGAGUAGAAGCCUCUAUAAGCAUCAAUGAUUCAUCUCAAUGACAGCAAACAAUUGUUUCACAUCAAAAGACUGGA
RNAcentral lists this small RNA (100 nucleotides) under Salix viminalis (osier). Lineage: Eukaryota; Viridiplantae; Streptophyta; Magnoliopsida; Malpighiales; Salicaceae. The record is from RNAcentral.